GAUGAACGCUAGCGGCAGGCCUAACACAUGCAAGUCGAGGGGUAGAAGGAGCUUGCUCCUUUGAGACCGGCGCACGGGUGCGUAACGCGUAUGCAAUCUACCUUUUACAGAGGGAUAGCCCAGAGAAAUUUGGAUUAAUACCUCAUAGUAUAUAUCAUUCGCAUGUUUGGUAUAUUAAAGUUCCAACGGUAAAAGAUGAGCAUGCGUCCCAUUAGUUAGUUGGUAAGGUAACGGCUUACCAAGACGAUGAUGGGUAGGGGCCCUGAGAGGGAGAUCCCCCACACUGGUACUGAGACACGGACCAGACUCCUACGGGAGGCAGCAGUGAGGAAUAUUGGUCAAUGGACGCAAGUCUGAACCAGCCAUGCCGCGUGCAGGAAGACGGCCCUAUGGAUUGUAAACUGCUUUUGUACGGGAAGAAACACUCCUACGUGUAGGAGCCUGACGGUACCGUAAGAAUAAGGAUCGGCUAACUCCGUGCCAGCAGCCGCCGUAA
Molecule: ribosomal RNA, 496 nt
Filed under: uncultured bacterium
Lineage: Bacteria
Description: partial 16S ribosomal RNA
Rfam family: Bacterial small subunit ribosomal RNA
Source: RNAcentral